This 497-nucleotide ribosomal RNA is filed under the name uncultured bacterium. RNAcentral's name for it is "partial 16S ribosomal RNA". It matches the Rfam family "Bacterial small subunit ribosomal RNA", at positions 28 to 507 of the family's 1533-position model. The record is from RNAcentral.
GACGAACGCUGGCGGCGUGCCUAAUACAUGCAAGUUGAGCGCUGAAGGUUGGUACUUGUACCAACUGGAUGAGCAGCGAACGGGUGAGUAACGCGUGGGGAAUCUGCCUUUGAGCGGGGGACAACAUUUGGAAACGAAUGCUAAUACCGCAUAAAAACUUUAAACACAAGUUUUAAGUUUGAAAGAUGCAAUUGCAUCACUCAAAGAUGAUCCCGCGUUGUAUUAGCUAGUUGGUGAGGUAAAGGCUCACCAAGGCGAUGAUACAUAGCCGACCUGAGAGGGUGAUCGGCCAAAUUGGGACUGAGACACGGCCCAAACUCCUACGGGAGGCAGCAGUAGGGAAUCUUCGGCAAUGGACGAAAGUCUGACCGAGCAACGCCGCGUGAGGGAAGAAGGGUUUCGGAUCGUAAAACUCUGUUGGUAGAGAAGAACGUUGGUGAGAGUGGAAAGCUCAUCAAGUGACGGUAACUACCCAGAAAGGGACGGCUAACUACGUG